RNAcentral lists this ribosomal RNA (253 nucleotides) under uncultured bacterium. RNAcentral's name for it is "partial 16S ribosomal RNA". It matches the Rfam family "Bacterial small subunit ribosomal RNA", at positions 524 to 776 of the family's 1533-position model. The record is from RNAcentral.
UACGUAGGUGACAAGCGUUGUCCGGAAUUACUGGGCGUAAAGCGUGCGUAGACGGCUAUCUAAGUCGGGUGUGAAAGCCCCGGGCUCAACCUGGGAAUUGCAUUCGAGACUGAAUAGCUAGGGUACGGUAGAGGGAAGCGGAAUUUCCGGUGUAGCGGUGAAAUGCGUAGAUAUCGGAAGGAACAUCAGUGGCGAAAGCGGCAGACUGGACCCUUCCUGACGCUGAUGCGCGAAAGCUAGGGGAGCAAACGGG